RNAcentral lists this ribosomal RNA (560 nucleotides) under uncultured fungus. RNAcentral's name for it is "eukaryotic LSU rRNA". The stretch from base 185 to 338 matches the Rfam family "5.8S ribosomal RNA". The record is from RNAcentral. Lineage: Eukaryota; Fungi.
ACAUCUUUAAUCGGAUUGAUCUCACACCUGGCCACCCUUGUUUACCUUAAACCUGUUGCUUUGGUGGGCCUGCCACAGGGCUGCCGGGAGACUUGUGUUUCCGGGCUAGUGCUCACCAAAGUCCUUUUAAACUCUAGCUAUUUUUUCUGCUGUCUGAGCAUGCAAAUGCAAAAAAUUUAGUUAAAACUUUCAACAACGGAUCUCUUGGUUCUGGCAUCGAUGAAGAACGCAGCGAAAUGCGAUAAGUAAUGUGAAUUGCAGAAUUCCGUGAAUCAUCGAAUUUUUGAACGCAUAUUGCGCCCUCUGGUAUUCCGGAGGGCAUGCCUGUCCGAGCGUCAUUACUAUCUUCAAGCGCAGCUUGUGUGUUGAGCAUCUGUUCUUUAAUGGACAUGCUUGAAAUGCAGUGGCAAUGCAGGCUUUGGUAGCCCAAGCGUUAUAGGGCUUUGUCACACGCUUUGUUGGCUCCAGUCGGCAUUUAGGCCCAUAACCUUAAAACCUAAAACUGACCUCGGAUCAGGCAAGAAUACCCGCUGAACUUAAGCAUAUCAAUAAGCGGAGGA